RNAcentral lists this long non-coding RNA (286 nucleotides) under Vulpes vulpes (red fox). RNAcentral's name for it is "lncRNA (ENSVVUG00000014153.1)". Lineage: Eukaryota; Metazoa; Chordata; Mammalia; Carnivora; Canidae. The record is from RNAcentral.
GGAAAGUAGAAGGUUGAGCAUGUGAAGUUCUCAUAAGGAGUUUAAAUUUCAAAGAGACAUCUGAUCACUCUGGUCUUCCAAGCUAAUUUGGCCUCUUGGCCGAAUAUGCAGCGUGUUGUUCUACCCACUUUGUAGAGACUGGGUACCUAACAAUAAAGAACAGUAGAAUGAAAAACCUUCGAUUUUAUGAAAAACAAAUAGCCAUCAGCCACAAGACUAGUUUUACAAGCUUUUUGUUCCUGCCUGCAUUCAAAGUUGAAGAAAUAUCAGCAAACUUGCUCUUUAC